ACGAACGCUGGCGGCGUGCUUAACACAUUCAAGUCGAACGGAAAGGCCUGCUUUCCCUUGUGGAUUGCGGGUACUCGAGUGGCGAACGGGUGAGUAACACGUGAGUGAUCUGCCCCCAACUUGGGUAUAAGCCUGGGAAACUGGGUCUAAUUCCCGAUAGGACUGCAGGGUGGUGCCUGUGGUGGAAAACGAUUUUCUAGUGGUUGGGGAUGAGCUCGCGGCCUAUCAGCUUGUUGGUGGGGUAAUGGCCUACCAAGGCGGCGACGGGUAGCCGGUCUGGGAGGGUUGACGGCCACAUUGGGACUGAGAUACGGCCCCGACUCCUACGGGAGGCAGCAGUGGGGAAUAUUGCACAAUGGGCGGAAGCCUGAUGCAGCGACGCCGCGUGGGGGAUGACGGCCUUCGGGUUGUAAACUCCUUUCGACCGCGAGGAAGCCACCUGGUUGGAAGGGUGGUGACGGUAGUGGUAGAAGAAGCACCGGCUAACUACGUG
Molecule: ribosomal RNA, 493 nt
Filed under: uncultured bacterium
Lineage: Bacteria
Description: partial 16S ribosomal RNA
Rfam family: Bacterial small subunit ribosomal RNA
Source: RNAcentral